This 124-nucleotide ribosomal RNA is filed under the name uncultured bacterium. RNAcentral's name for it is "partial 16S small subunit ribosomal RNA". It matches the Rfam family "Bacterial small subunit ribosomal RNA", at positions 335 to 457 of the family's 1533-position model. The record is from RNAcentral.
ACUCCUACGGGAGGCAGCAGUGGGGAAUUUUGCACAAUGGGGGAAACCCUGACGCAGCAACGCCUAAAUGGGGGAUGAAGUCCCUCGGGACGUAAACUCCUUAGACCCGAAGAUAAGACGUACC